ACAAAUAUUCAUUCUUUUCCAUGUUUUUUUUUCCUUUUUCUUUUUUGUUCUUUCCCCUUUUACUUCACUAGCUUUAUUCUAACCUUUCAUUGCUCCGACGAGGCAAUCGGAGUGCUGCCGUGGCCGCUGAUUCAACGCACCGCCCCCGCUGAUCCCCGUUGCUGAUUACCCGACACCGAUUUUGUAUUUACGGCCAUAUGUUGAAAUAGUUUUCUGGUGCGCCGAUGAGCUGAACUGAUGUUAUUGACAGUCGAAGGUGGAGGAUUCUUCUCUUCUUCAGCUUCAGGAUAUAGUAAGGGUUUGACCCUUCUUCUCUUGGGCCAGAGGACUGAGGAUAAAUCCAUGAGGGUUUUGCCGUUGAGCCAGUUCCAGUUGGUAGGCCAAGAAUCUGACCGCGAGCUCCAGCUGGCUUCCAGAAAGAAACGUCUCUCCAGCAGGUGCGCUUCCUUUGUUUGCUUCGGCUGUGCCUCUGCAAGGCUUGACACUGCAUCUCAUGUUAAAGUGGUCCAUGCCAAACACCAUGAUGUCUCUUCAGGGACCCUGGUUUCCAACAAGGGCAAGUAUCCUCCUAACAAUGUAAAUGAUGAUAAUAGAAAGGUUGCACUUAAAAGUAGCUUAAAAGGGCAAGGAAAUAGAAAACCAGUUCUUGUCGAGGCUGUUGCUGAACAUGAGGCAUCAGGUGGAAAGGAGAAUGAUACUCAUGUCCAAACAGAGAGAAGGAAAGUGCAAUGGACUGAUGCUUGUGGUAGUGAGCUUGUUCAAUUACAUGAAUUUGAGCCCAGCGAAGUGUCAUCUGAUGAAUUUGAGUACGGGAAUAACAAAACUUGUUCCUGUGCUAUAAUGUAAAUUGGCGUUCCAAACGAUAGACCCAUUUUUUCGGUGUCAAUUUGUUCAUUGCUAACAUACUCCAUCACUGAGCAUAAGGAAAAGGAGCAGAUGUUUUCAGUCUAGUGGAGAUCCAUAUGCCAUCUCUUGCCCGAGCAAUCAUUUGUCUCCAUAAAUGCUUGCUGUGGCCUUCAAUUUUGUUCCUCUGUUUUUCAUCAAUUUUGUAUAUAAUCUGUCAUCUGAAUUCUUUGGCUUUUGUCUUCUGAAUUUUGUAUGUAAUCUGUUCUAGGUUUUUAUUCUUUAUGUACAACUUCAACAAAGUUUGUUUUGUUUAUAUAUAUAUAUAUAUAUAUUUAUAUUUAUAUUUAUAUA
Molecule: RNA transcript, 1197 nt
Organism: Vigna angularis (adzuki bean)
Lineage: Eukaryota; Viridiplantae; Streptophyta; Magnoliopsida; Fabales; Fabaceae
Exons: 3
Source: RefSeq, a predicted model, not a curated record